This 448-nucleotide ribosomal RNA is filed under the name uncultured organism. RNAcentral's name for it is "partial 16S ribosomal RNA". It matches the Rfam family "Bacterial small subunit ribosomal RNA", at positions 333 to 797 of the family's 1533-position model. The record is from RNAcentral.
ACACUCCUACGGGAGGCAGCAGUGGGGAAUAUUGGACAAUGGGCGCAAGCCUGAUCCAGCCAUGCCGCGUGAGUGAUGAAGGCCCUAGGGUUGUAAAGCUCUUUCACCGGUGAAGAUAAUGACGGUAACCGGAGAAGAAGCCCCGGCUAACUUCGUGCCAGCAGCCGCGGUAAUACGAAGGGGGCUAGCGUUGUUCGGAUUUACUGGGCGUAAAGCGCACGUAGGCGGACUAUUAAGUCAGGGGUGAAAUCCCGGGGCUCAACCCCGGAACUGCCUUUGAUACUGGUAGUCUUGAGUUCGAGAGAGGUGAGUGGAAUUCCGAGUGUAGAGGUGAAAUUCGUAGAUAUUCGGAGGAACACCAGUGGCGAAGGCGGCUCACUGGCUCGAUACUGACGCUGAGGUGCGAAAGCGUGGGGAGCAAACUGGAUUAGAUACCCUGGUAGUCCCA